CAGAUCUUUACAUUCAGAAGUA
This 22-nucleotide non-coding RNA is filed under the name Rattus norvegicus (Norway rat). Lineage: Eukaryota; Metazoa; Chordata; Mammalia; Rodentia; Muridae. The record is from RNAcentral.